Molecule: ribosomal RNA, 475 nt
Filed under: uncultured bacterium
Lineage: Bacteria
Description: bacterial SSU rRNA
Rfam family: Bacterial small subunit ribosomal RNA
Source: RNAcentral
CGCUGGCGGCAGGCCUAACACAUGCAAGUCGGACGGUAGCACAGAGGAGCUUGCUCCUUGGGUGACGAGUGGCGGACGGGUGAGUAAUGUCUGGGGAUCUGCCCGAUAGAGGGGGAUAACCACUGGAAACGGUGGCUAAUACCGCAUAACGUCGCAAGACCAAAGAGGGGGACCUUCGGGCCUCUCACUAUCGGAUGAACCCAGAUGGGAUUAGCUAGUAGGCGGGGUAAUGGCCCACCUAGGCGACGAUCCCUAGCUGGUCUGAGAGGAUGACCAGCCACACUGGAACUGAGACACGGUCCAGACUCCUACGGGAGGCAGCAGUGGGGAAUAUUGCACAAUGGGCGCAAGCCUGAUGCAGCCAUGCCGCGUGUAUGAAGAAGGCCUUCGGGUUGUAAAGUACUUUCAGCGGGGAGGAAGGCGAUGUGGUUAAUAACCGCAUCGAUUGACGUUACCCGCAGAAGAAGCACCGGCU